RNAcentral lists this ribosomal RNA (277 nucleotides) under uncultured Lachnospiraceae bacterium. Its description in RNAcentral is "partial 16S ribosomal RNA". It matches the Rfam family "Bacterial small subunit ribosomal RNA", at positions 68 to 339 of the family's 1533-position model. Lineage: Bacteria; Bacillati; Bacillota; Clostridia; Lachnospirales; Lachnospiraceae. The record is from RNAcentral.
UUGAUUUCUUCGGAUUGAUUCUUAACUGACUGAGCGGCGGACGGGUGAGUAACGCGUGGGUGACCUGCCCCAUACCGGGGGAUAACAGCUGGAAACGGCUGCUAAUACCGCAUAAGCGCACAGAGCUGCAUGGCUCGGUGUGAAAAACUCCGGUGGUAUGGGACGGGCCCGCGUCUGAUUAGCUGGUUGGCAGGGUAACGGCCUACCAAGGCGACGAUCAGUAGCCGACCUGAGAGGGUGAUCGGCCACAUUGGAACUGAGACACGGUCCAAACUCC